AGACUUACCUGGCAGGGCAGGUAAGAUACCAUGAUCACAAAGAUGGUUUUCCCAGGGCGAGGCUUGUCCAUUGCACUGCGAGUGUGCUGACCCCUGCGAUUUCCCCAAAUGUGGGAAACUCGACUGCAUAAUUUGUGGUAGUGGGGGACUAUGCUCACGUUCUCCCCUG
Echinops telfairi (small Madagascar hedgehog) is the source of this 169-nucleotide small nuclear RNA. Its record names the gene U1. It matches the Rfam family "U1 spliceosomal RNA". From Rfam's summary of the family: U1 is a small nuclear RNA (snRNA) component of the spliceosome (involved in pre-mRNA splicing). Its 5' end forms complementary base pairs with the 5' splice junction, thus defining the 5' donor site of an intron. There are significant differences in sequence and secondary structure between metazoan and yeast U1 snRNAs, the latter being much longer (568 nucleotides as compared to 164 nucleotides in human). The record is from Ensembl. Lineage: Eukaryota; Metazoa; Chordata; Mammalia; Afrosoricida; Tenrecidae.